This is a long non-coding RNA of Equus asinus (donkey), 2668 nucleotides long. Lineage: Eukaryota; Metazoa; Chordata; Mammalia; Perissodactyla; Equidae. The record is from Ensembl.
CACAGGGCUUGGGUUGUCUCUUAUGGCUUGGAUGGGUGCAGAAUGGGAGUUUUGCUGUUUUUUGGUUUUUAAUGGAGAUUCAAAAUAGGGAAGGGACCCCAUGUUCCCAGAAGCUUCAGAGCUGCUUUAGAGCUUAUCAAUACUUCUUUUGGACUUUCAUAGUACUCUAGUAUUUCUGUGGAUGAAGAAUGUGAUGCAUUUUAAGAGCAAGUUAGAAAAAAUACAAAGAAUAAAUGUUGAUGCAAAUCCUUUAGAGGUUUUCUCAUAUUUUAAUAUUCAUUCUGGAGAUGCGAUCAGCAGUCCACGAAGUCCCCUUCUUCAGAUAUCACAGAUUAAACAGAGAUUUAAGACCAGGUAAUGAAUUUUUUUGUGUGUGUGAGAGGAAGAUGGGCCCUGAGCUAACAUCCAUUGCCAAUCUUCUUUUUGCUUGAGGAAGAUUGUCGCUAAGCUCACAUCUUGUGCCACUCUUCCUCUAUUUUGUAUGUGGGACACUGCCACAGCAUGGCUUGAUGAGCGGUGUGUAGGUCUGCACCCAGGAUCUGAACCUGCAAACCCUAGGCCACUGAAGCGGAGUGUGCAAACGUAGCACAAUGCCACUGGGCCCACCCCUCAGGACACUUGGUAGCAGUAAAAGGUUGCCCUGAACACUUGACAGAAAGUCAAAGGCAAGAGUAAUAGACAGAAAUACAAAACCUCGGGUCUUGGCUUUAUCACCUGGAGCUACAUAAUGCUGCCACCAAGCCUGCUGUUAGGGUUGUUCAAGUGCCAGCAUCAUUACAGGCCAGAAGACCCUGGAGCCCCUUCGCUGUUGGCCAUGUGACAGCCCCUCAGAUGGCAAAGGCAGACUUGUGGGCUGUCUACAGAUCCGGACACCUGGAGGCUCGGCUCUGUUCCAAGAGGUGAUUUAUGUAGGCAACACAACCCGAGGAGAGGAAAGCCUACGCGGCCCUUUAGACUUCACAUCUUCUUCUACGCCUGAUAGGACUUUCGCAUUUUACAACUGCAUAAUAAUUCUGUUAUUAGGAGGAAUGCCCCUUCAUGUGCCCCAAAUAAAAAAAGGAAAAGUUAAAACCAGAAGUCUUCCAAAACUUAACAUGUCGGUUUUCUCAGAUAGGAAAACCAGACAAGUUACCUCACAAGAAGCAUAGGCUGUGCCACAAACCUUGCUCUUAGUUUUCUUUCGGUCUGAGCGUCCUCAGAUGGGGGUAGGUGGAUGUCUCCAGUUCUACUGGGACUUUUGGAGAAAUUGAAGGAAGGGAACCUCAUUAGCAGAAGGACAAGGAACUAGUCCAGGCGAUAUCUGAAUAUUUAUUAUUUGACCUUAUCUUGAAUGGAAAGGAAAGGCUCUUUGUUCAAAAAACUUCUGACUGAUGCCUGUUCUUUGGACUUCCCUCAUUGCUUUAUAAAAAAAACCUAUUAAUUAACUUAGUGCCUGUUAGAAAGAAGUGAGCUUUCUCUGAACUCUCACAAUUGGUCAUUACUGCUGGUAAGAGAAGCAGCAUUAUGAUUUCCUUUUACAUAUGAAGAAAAUGACGUUCAGAUUAACUUUAUAAUCAUGCAAUAAAUAAUUUGGAGAUCUGGGACCCAAGCAAGCAAAGGGCUAUGGCAGGGAGACCUGGGCUUUUGUUCUGACUUUGCCUACAGCUCGAGGCCACCACUUUGGUCCUUAGUUUUCUUGCCUUAAAAUGGGUUCAGUGGAUUAGAUUGGGGUGGUAACCUUUUUCUGUAAAGGGCCAGAUGUAAACAUUUGUGGCUUUCUGGGCCAUCCAGUCUCUGCGGCAACUACUCAACUCUGCCACUGGAGAGUAAAAGCAGCCACAGACAACAUGUGAAACAAACGGGUGUGACAUUGUGCCAAUAAAACUUCAUUUGCAAAAAUAGGCAGCGGCAUGGAUUUGGUCCAUAGGCUGCAGUUUGCAGACCCCUGGACUAGAUGAUAUAGAAGUUUCUUCUACUGCUAAAAUUUUAUGAUUCAACUUGUUUUAAUGGCAAUGCUAUUUCCCUAGGAAAGUCAUCUUGAUUACACAAUCGUCUGCUGAUUAUACAGUUUAUGAGUACUUAAAUAUUUUUCUGAUGUUCAUUGUAGCAUGAUUCACAAUAGCCAAGGUAUGGAAACUACUUAAGUGUCAUCUGUUAAUGGAUGAAUAGAUAAAAAAGAGGUGGUGUAUAUAUACAAUGGAAUAUUAUUCAGCCAUGAGAAAGAAGGAAAUCCUGCUAUUUGUGACAACCUAGAUGGACCUUGAGGGCAGUAAGCUAAGUGAGCUAAGUCAGACAGAGAAAGACAAAUACUUACAUGUCGACCCUAAAAAAGCCAAACUCGUAGAAACAGAGAGUAAAAUAGUGGUUACUGUCAGGCUGGGGGGUGGAGAAUCGGGGAGAUGUUGAGCAAAGGGUACAAACUUGCAGUUGAAGAUGAGUAAGUUCUGGAGAUCUAACACACAGCAUAGUGAUUUAGCCAACACUAUUGUAUUAUAUACUUCAAAGCUGCUGAGAGACUAGAUCUUAAAUAUUCCCCUUACAAAAGAGAAAUGAUAAUUAUGUGAGUGCUAGAGGAUUUAGCUAAUGCUGUGGUGAUAAUCAUACUGCAAUAUACAAAAGUAUCAAAUCAAUACAUUGUACACCUUAAAUUUACACAAUGCUGUAUGUCAAUUAUAUCCAAUAAAAAGUA